This is a small nuclear RNA of Peromyscus californicus insignis, 105 nucleotides long. The record is from RefSeq and is a predicted model, not a curated record. NCBI's taxonomy places the organism in Eukaryota, Metazoa, Chordata, Mammalia, Rodentia, Cricetidae.
CUUGUCUUGGCAGCAUAACAUACUAAAGUUGUAACAAUGCACAGAAACUUAGCAUGGGCCCUGUGGAAUGAUGGCAUGCAAAUCCAUGAAGCGUUCUAUAUUUUU